UGAACCUGGAGAUUGCAUCCCACCACAUAUAGAUAGUCAUGAUUUUGUUCGGCCAUUUUGUACCGUUUCUUUCCUCAGUGAAUGCAACAUUCUUUUUGGAUCUACUCUGAAAAUAGCUGGCCCUGGAGAAUUCACCGGUUCAACUGCGAUUCCCCUCCCUGUCGGGUCCGUGCUUGUCCUGAAUGGCAAUGGUGCUGAUGUAGCAAAGCAUUGUGUUCCAGCAGUCCCGACCAAAAGGAUAUCCAUUACCUUCAGAAGAAUGGACCCAGCAAAGCGUCCAUUCAGUUUUAAAGAUGAUCCAGAACUGCUUAACAUUACACCUCUAGGGACGGCAGUACAAGAAGCUGGCAGAUCUUCGGACGAAGGCAAGAGCAAGGUACCUGAUGCGCAGAUUAGAAAUCUGAGCAAAAUAUCCAGAGGCAAGAGAUCUAAAGGACGAACAUCUGCUGGAAAGACUGGAUGGGACAUUCUGGGAGACCAACCACCUGGGUAUGCAAAUUCCCCUGCAGUAGAUGUGUUGUCACAACAAAGCUUGCCUGGCCAGCGCACCGUCUCUGCUGCAAGUGCUGAGAGAGAAAGGAACUCUGCUGGGAGGUCAAGAGAAUCAAGAUAUCAAUCAAAUGCGCCUGGUAUGCAAUCUCAGGUGGAAGAUAUCAGAG
Molecule: long non-coding RNA, 659 nt
Organism: Phragmites australis (common reed)
Lineage: Eukaryota; Viridiplantae; Streptophyta; Magnoliopsida; Poales; Poaceae
Exons: 3
Source: RefSeq, a predicted model, not a curated record